GGUGUCCGAGUGGUUGAAGGAGCACGCUUGGAAAGCGUGUAGGGUGUCAAAACCCUCGUGGGUUCGAAUCCCAUCCCCUCCUCCA
Molecule: transfer RNA, 85 nt
Filed under: Bacteroidota bacterium
Lineage: Bacteria; Pseudomonadati; Bacteroidota
Description: Bacteroidetes bacterium (freshwater metagenome) tRNA-Ser
Rfam family: tRNA
About the family: Transfer RNA (tRNA) molecules are approximately 80 nucleotides in length. Their secondary structure includes four short double-helical elements and three loops (D, anti-codon, and T loops). Further hydrogen bonds mediate the characteristic L-shaped molecular structure. tRNAs have two regions of fundamental functional importance: the anti-codon, which is responsible for specific mRNA codon recognition, and the 3' end, to which the tRNAs corresponding amino acid is attached (by aminoacyl-tRNA synthetases). tRNAs cope with the degeneracy of the genetic code in two manners: having more than one tRNA (with a specific anti-codon) for a particular amino acid; and 'wobble' base-pairing, i.e. permitting non-standard base-pairing at the 3rd anti-codon position.
Source: RNAcentral